Molecule: ribosomal RNA, 447 nt
Filed under: uncultured bacterium
Lineage: Bacteria
Description: SSU rRNA
Rfam family: Bacterial small subunit ribosomal RNA
Source: RNAcentral
AGAGCGAACGCUGGCGGCAGGCCUAACACAUGCAAGUCGAGCGCCCGUAGCAAUACGGGAGCGGCAGACGGGAGAGUAACACGUGGGAACGUACCCUUCAGUUCGGAAUAACCCAGGGAAACUUGGACUAAUACCGAAUACGUCCGUAAGGAGAAAGAUUUAUCGCUGAAGGGAUCGGCCCGCGUCUGAUUAGCUUGUUGGUGAGGUAACGGCUCACCAAGGCGACGAUCAGUAGCUGGUCUGAGAGGAUGAUCAGCCUCACUGGGACUGAGACACGGCCCAGACUCCUACGGGAGGCAGCAGUGGGGAUAUUGGACAAUGGGCGCAAGCCUGAUCCAGCCAUGCCGCGUGGAUGAUGAAGGCCCUAGGGUUGUAAAGUCCUUUCGGCGGGGAAGAUAAUGACGGUACCCGCAGAAGAAGCCCGGCUAACUUCGCGCCAGCAGCCGC